AGUGAAUAGAUACCCCGGUAGUCCUAGCCGUAAACGAUGGGCACUAAGUAGAGGGGUUUUGAUUAUCUCUCUGCCGGAGCUAAACGCAUUAAGUGCCCCGCCUGGGGAGUACGGCCGCAAGGCUAAAACUCAAAAGAAUUGACGGGGGCUCGCACAAGCGGUGGAGCAUGUGGCUUAAUUCGAUGCAACGCGAAGAACCUUACCGGGGUUUGACAUGGUAGAAGUAGAAGCCUGAAAAGGUGACGAACGGUAUCCAGUCCGUAACUAUCACAGGUGUUGCAUGGCUGUCGUCAGCUCGUGUCGUGAGACGUUGGGUUAAGUCCCCUAACGAGCGAAACCCUUGUCUUUAGUUGCCAACAGAUAAUGCUGGGCACUCUAAAGAAACUGCCGUCGUCAAGACGGAGGAAGGUGGGGAUGACGUCAAGUCAUCAUGGCCCUUAUAUCCCGGGCUGCACACGUGCUACAAUGGUCGGUACAAAGGGAUGCUAAGCCGUAAGGUGGAGCGAAACCCAGAAAGCCGAUCCCAGUUCAGAUUGGAGGCUGAAACCCGCCUCC
RNAcentral lists this ribosomal RNA (555 nucleotides) under uncultured bacterium. RNAcentral describes it as "bacterial SSU rRNA". It matches the Rfam family "Bacterial small subunit ribosomal RNA", at positions 773 to 1319 of the family's 1533-position model. The record is from RNAcentral.